This is a non-coding RNA of Dipodomys ordii (Ord's kangaroo rat), 73 nucleotides long. Lineage: Eukaryota; Metazoa; Chordata; Mammalia; Rodentia; Heteromyidae. The record is from Rfam.
GGGAAGGUGGCUCAGUGGUAGAGCGCUUGCCUUGCAUGCAUGAGGACCUAGGGGUCGAUUCCUCAGCAUCACA